UAACAAGGAUUCCCCUAGUAACUGCGAGUGAAGCGGGAAAAGCUCAAAUUUAAAAUCUGGCGGUCUUCUGGCCGUCCGAGUUGUAGUCUGGAGAAGCGUUUUCCGCGUUGGACCGUGUACAAGUUUCCUGGAACGGAGCGUCAUAGAGGGUGAGAAUCCCGUCUUUGACACGGACCCCAAUGCUUUGUGAUGCGCUCUCAAAGAGUCGAGUUGUUUGGGAAUGCAGCUCAAAAUGGGUGGUGAAUUCCAUCUAAAGCUAAAUAUUGGCGAGAGACCGAUAGCGAACAAGUACCGUGAGGGAAAGAUGAAAAGCACUUUGGAAAGAGAGUUAAACAGUACGUGAAAUUGUUGAAAGGGAAACGCUUGAAGUCAGUCGCGUCGGCCGGGACUCAGCCUUGCAUCCGCUUGGUGUACUUUCCGGUCGACGGGCCAGCAUCAGUUUUGACCGCGAGAUAAAGGCGGAGGGAAUGUGGCUCUCUCGGGAGUGUUAUAGCCCUUCGUCAGAUGUCGCGGUUGGGACUGAGGAACUCAGCACGCCUUUAUGGCCGGGGCUCGCCCACGUACGUGCUUAGGAUGCUGGCGU
Molecule: ribosomal RNA, 583 nt
Filed under: Stereum hirsutum
Lineage: Eukaryota; Fungi; Basidiomycota; Agaricomycetes; Russulales; Stereaceae
Description: LSU rRNA
Rfam family: Eukaryotic large subunit ribosomal RNA
Source: RNAcentral